ACUGAGUCACAGGUUUGUCUUUUAAUCAGCAUCCAUGAAAAUUCAUUAAAAGGUCUAAUACGAAAAGCACCAGGCUAACAAAUCAGUCCUGAAUUCAAUUUUACAAAAACACCCUCUCCUCUUCCAUCUCAUCCCUAAUAUUCCCACGUUAUCUCGAGGUACAGAGAAAUAUAAAAGGGAUCCUUGACAUAAAAACGUAUUAAAAAGCCACCAUGAGUAGAAUGUACGGUAACAGCAUCUGACUCGGCCGGCAGGACAGGAAACCUACAGAGCCACCAUGCCAGAGCUUUGUGUGAGCAGGCGGGCACUCCACAUGGGCACGUGUGUGAGCAGGCGGGCACUCCACAUGGGCACGUGUGAGCAGGUGGGCACUCCACAUGGGCACGUGUGAGCAGGCGGGCACUCCACAUUGGCACGUGUGAGCAGGCGGGCACUCCACAUCGGCAUGUGUGUGAGCAGGCGGGCAUGCCACAAUGGCACGUGUGAUCCGGCGGGCACUCUACAUGGGCAUGUGAGCAGGCAGGCACUCCACGUCGGCAUGUGUGAGCAGGCGGGCACUCCACGUCGGCAUGUGUGUGAGCAGGCGGGCACUCCACAUGGGCACGUGUGAGCAGGCGGGCACUCCACAUGGGCACGUGUGAGCAGGCGGGCGCUCCACAUGGGCACGUGUGUGAGCAGGCGGGCGCUCCACAUGGACGUGUGUGAGCAGGCGGGCGCUCCACAUCGGCACAUGUGAGCAUGUGGGCACUCCACAUCGGCACAUGUGAGCAGGCGGGCGCUCCACAUGGGCACGUGUGUGAGCAGGCGGGCGCUCCACAUCGGCACGUGUGAGCAGGCGGGCACUCCACAUCGGCACAAAGCGAGGGCUCAUGCAUAAGAGUUGCAGGGACACCUGGACAGCUAUUUGAAAUUUAAAAACUGGGUUUCCUGGCUCACAUUUUGUAUCAAAAACUAGAAGUAGAUCAAUGAUUUCAAUAUGAAAAUGAAACCCAUAAAAGUACUAGAAGAAAACACGGAAAACAUUUCAAAUAUAAUCUUUAAGGGGGAAGAGCAUUCUAACUAGAACACAAAACUUAGAAGACAAGAAAGAUUGAUAAUUCAACUACAUAACUCAUGAAAGGAAGAUCUGAGGAACGAGAUGUCCACAGUGGCCGCUGAGAAGCUCUGCCACACUCCUGGAGGCAUGGAAGGCUGUGCCCACACAGGCACAGAGCUGUGUGCGUGCCCGAGAGGAACCUGAGCUGCCCUGGCCCUCACCUCUGGCUGGCUUUGUGGCUACGUGCAAGAAGUGAAGGCAAAGGCACAGUUGGCAGCUGCCUGCUGGAGCACUGACCACACAUCAACUGCGUGUCGGCAGAACCGCGAUGGAGCGCUGAAGGCACACACACCACGCAUCAACUGCAUGUCAGCAGAACCGCGAUGGAGCGCUGAAGGCACACACACCACGCAUCAACUGCGUGUCGGCAGAACCGUGAUGGAGCGCUGAAGGCACACUCACCACGCAUCAACUGCAUGUCGGCAGAACCGUGAGAGUUACUGGUGCAAAGCACUUAAAGGGGUCCUCUGUCCAGUCACUGGCUGAACAUGAAGCUGAUGAGAUGGACACUUCAAAUUAGUCCAGAACACACACUAAACAAAAGGUAACAGCAACAGAACAACAAUAAACUCGUGGAGAGGGUAUCUGAUUUCCAGAGUUGCACAGCACAUUAUUAAAGUGUCCAGUCUUCAAAAAAUACAUAUAUAUGAGACCACAAAGAAAGAGUAUGUUAUUUCCUUGGCUCUGACAUGGGAAAAAAGGUCAUCAAUAGGAACUUCCCCUGAAUAAGCCCUGAUGCUGAACUUAGUAGACAAGUCACCUAUCUAUCUUAUCUUAUCCUAUCUAUCUAUCUAUCUAUCUAUCUAUCUAUCUAUCUAUCUAUCUAUCUAGUUUUGAAAGCGUCUCGCUCUGUGGCCCAGGCUGGAGUACAAUGGCUCGAUCCUGGCUCACUGCAACCUCCGCCUCCCGGGUUCAAGCAAUUCUCCUGCCUCUGCCUCCCAAGUAGCUGGGAUUACAGGUGCAUGCCACCACGCCCGGCUUAGACAAGUACUUUAAAUCAGCUUCUACACAUAUGUUCAAAUAACUAAAGGAAACUGUGUCUACAGAAUUAAAGUAUGAGAAUGUUUCACUAAACAAAGAAUAUGAGUAAAGAUACAGAAAUUAUAGGAGAGAGCCAAAUGGAAGUUUGGAGUAGAAAAGUACAAUAACUGAAAUGAAAAAUUCACUAGAGCAGCUUGACAUCAGGUUUUGUUUGGCAAAAGCAUCUGUGACCUUGAAGAUAGGUCAACUGAGAUGACCCAUUCUGAGAAGAAGAAAAAAUUCCAGAAUAAAGGAAAGUCAAGGAGGCCUCCAAGGCUGUGCCCAGCUCCACAUCAACACACGUAGCUGGAGUCCAAGCGGGGGAAGAGAACAUGGACGUAAAAUAUUUCGAGAAACGACAACCUAAAAUUUCCCAAAUUUGCAGAACCGCAAUGGAGCACUGAAGGCACACUCACCGCACAUCAACUGCAUGUCGGC
This 2554-nucleotide long non-coding RNA is filed under the name Pan troglodytes (chimpanzee). RNAcentral's name for it is "long non-coding RNA NONPTRT012887". The record is from RNAcentral. Lineage: Eukaryota; Metazoa; Chordata; Mammalia; Primates; Hominidae.